UGUGAGCCUGUGGAUUUAGUUUCUACAGAGCUCAGCCACCUGCACCAGUCAGUGAUGGGAACUUCUCAAAGAAAUGGUUCUAAAUUCUCCCAGUGUUGAGUUAGCAUACUCCAAGAGGAACCCACCAGUUACAGAGGGCUUCAUAUUACUGGUCCAGAAGCAAUUUCAGUGUCAAAACUGCUCCAGGAACAAGGUACACCUGGGAAUGGUUGAGCAAAAUGAUAGUCACAACUGCCACCUCUCAUGAUGUUCCACUUGUUUACUUGUUGUUAGUGAGUAGCACAUGGCCUGCAGGAGGCCACAGGCAGCCACUUCCAAAUCCCUAGACAUGCUGCAUUGCACAGCUCUUGCUCUUCUUUUAUUUUUUUCUUUCCAAACAAGGUUUUUUUAGCUUUUGACAUUUUAGGAGAAAUUUAGAAAAGAAAAAAUGGACAGAGAUCUAUUCUGAUUUAUGACAAAAUAAACUUCUGCAAGAAGUAAGCAAUCAAAAACUAGCUAUAGUUGUAAUAACCAGAACUUUAUGUAUUUGUGCCCAUCAAAGAGACAACAGAGUGCUGAGCAGAAAACAGUGGUUUUCUAAGCUUAAUCUCAUGAUUAUGCACUUUCCAUGUGAGUUAAUAAUUGUAUCUCAUUUCCACCCUAAAGACGAUGGUCUUGGUGGAUAGUGCUGCUCAUUAUGUUCAUUUGCUGAGUGUUGGUUAGUUAUUACUCAUGAGGAUGUUGUUCCAAAGGAACUAAGGUGUGGCUGUGGCUAAAGGAGAUGUACUCGAAGUGGUAAUCAACCUUUUAAUGCCAGUGGUAAAAAUGCCACGUGAAGGCAUGCCACUCCUUGAGGACUACAUGACUCUCCAUACUGCCUUGGCGCUACGUGGACACAAUUGGUACUCACGGUGCACCCCAGAUCUUACCUACAUUCUGCUCUGUAUCAGGACUCAUUUUGAUCUCAUUUCAGAGGUGACUAUAAUGUGGGACUGUACAGAGCUGUGCUGGAUCAGAAAUGGUAAACAUAACCAUAGCCAGCAGCAGCUGGAUAGAAGAAUUUCAGCUGGAUGUUGCACAAAGAGUUGUACUCUUAGGUUUGUGGUAGAAGAGUUCUCCAAGGUGUAGGAUGACCUCAGAAAUGUUCUUAUUCUUGCGCAGCUUUUGUUUGCUUGUUAUCUCUGAAAAGAGGGAAAUAAGAAUUUCCAGAUUUGGUUUUUUUUUUUCUGCAAAAACAAAAUGUCACAGUGCCCUUUUUAGAAGAUACAUUCCUGACUUCCUUGUUACUCAAAACGAGAUCAACCUGUGUGGCCUUGAGUGGACUAGGAGACGGGCAUAUUUUUUAUUGCCGAUUCCAACUCAUAAAUUCUUAACUUGCUUAGAAUUUGCCAGAUUAAAUGAAAAGAUACUGUAAUUAGGGAUUUAUUAAAACAUGGAUCCUUGACCUGAUAGAAUAUAAUAACUCAUUUGUUUCAAAUAAGACCUAUUUAAUUGUUCCAUCGCUGGCCUGAACAUUUCGUGCUGAGGCUUUGAACCCUCUCCAUUCUGCGCAGUCCCGCAUGUUGUCCAAAUCCACUUGCAAAAAGCAAAAUGCUCUGUGAAAUUCUUGAUCCCCCAGCUGCUAUGCAGGCAGAAGCCCCUAAAACAAAAAUGUGUCAUUGUAAUUAAAAAUUAAAGUCCUGAAAGCCCUUAUUAUUCAACGCUACAAAGCAAAGACUAUGAAAAUACUAUUUUUAUACACGCGGCUCUGUUUUAAUUUUUUUUUUUUUUUUGUGAGCAACCCUCCUUCUCCGUAUCUUUAAAAACAAUAGUUAUUGAUUUACAAUCUUAUAAAUAAGGCUGUAAAAUCUUGUAACACAGAGCUAUAAAUAGAUAUUUGAAAAAAAUAUGAAAAUUGCUCCCAAGUCAAGUCCAUAUAUGGCACUAGUCAGCAGAGAGCCAUUUUACGGAGACAUAUAAACUGCAGAAAAUAAUUUCUAUUGAAAAUGCAAAGAAAUCUGAAACUAAGCACUGCCACAAACAAUGCAGCCAUAAUUAAGGAAUUACCCACUCCUUCUCCUCAUCUUUGAAAUAAGCCUUCUCCUUUAUUUAAUUGGUUAGAUACAGAAAGCGUAUUACUAUAUUUGGGUCCUGUUUCCCUAGUAUAAGAAUAGUCCUAGAAGGAAUUCCCAGUUAAAGAGUGAGGCAGUUCUACAACAUAUUAAAAAAAAAAAUACCACAGGAAAGUGUUAUCCAAUGGGCAGAUGUUAACUUAAAGUGCACAUUGUUUGGAAAAGGAGUUAAUUAACAACUUAUUAAUUGGAUAGAAAGUCUGAAACUGUUGUACUUCUAGCAAAUACAUAAUUUUCUUCAAGUAUUAUUAAAGCGUUUUUGUUGUACCUAUUAAAGAUUCUUGUCUCUAAGUUAAUUUCAUUAUGCUAAUAAGCUAUCAUCGUUACAGAACCUAAGCUUUGAUCCAUGUUAAUUGUCGUGAUCUUCAAAGACAAAGUCACCACUUACUUUAAAUGAAUUUUACAUCUUUUUAAAGAAUCACACGGAAAUUAGGGGAAGUAAUUAAUUUUUUAUUAUGUGUCUCAAUAUUUUUAAGGGAGGAAGUCAAUGGUAUUGGCUAGAAUUCAUUUUAACAUUUAACUAGGGAAAACAGCAUGAGGCAAAAAAACGUUCAGAUGCAAAAGAUUAAAGAAAAUUUGAAACUGGGACCUAAUUUGUCUUGAUAAACUUUGGUGUUUAAUAUGCUUCUUUUGUUCUCUGUGUGAAACUGCAGGGUUUUGAUUUGUAAAAACUUUUUGAAGAAUUAAUUCUGUCUAAUUUUUAUUCCUUUCUUUGCUUUCCUUUCACUGUAAGACAGAGGAGAUGACCUUCAAACCAUAACACUUUAAAUAUCUAUGAAUAUACAAGGUUAAAUCUAUUAGAGGUCUGAGAUUAGCUGCUAUAUACUUGCAAAAUAUGUACCUUUUGCAGCAAUUUUUAUCUUUUAAUGAAUGAUAACAAGCUCACAUCAACCCUACAAGUUUUUAAAAUAUAAUGGAAUAUGUGUAGCAAGUGAUCUAUUCCUCUUUCCUAUAAGUGUUGGUUACUUUAACCCUCUGAUGCUUUUCAAGGCUCAGUUCUGUAUCAACAGGGUAUUUUUUGGAUUUGGGAUCAGGACCUAAUGUCAGUAUUAUCAGCCUACCUAUGGCUGCCAAUUUAUAGUUUACCCAAAUUCUCCCUUAUCUUUUCCAGAUUUCUCUUGUUUCGAUUCAAGAUGAACAUCUUCUAAAUAAGAUUUUUCUUUUAAAGGAAGUUUCCUGUCUGUUUUCCAACAUUUAAAAUCUCACUGAAAUGGAAGUCCUGGAGUACGAGCAUCCUGUCGUAUUUGCAGUGAAAAACAGAGCCUUUUUAUAUGGCAGUAGACAAAAGUAUAUUAAGGAUAGACGAAGUGAUUGAAAUCAAAAGCCAGAUUACUAACUUCAUUCUCUCUAGUUAGCAGCACGCAAGUACUGUAAAUGCAAGUAAACAUCAAGUUUCAACUGAGCCUGGAUGGUUGGAUUUCUGCAGCAGACAGGUGGUGAGCUCAUCGCGAGGAUUUUUCGGCAUUAAUGUUGUACUCAUUUAGACUAACACCAGGCUUGAGUGACCCUCAUCUGGAUUUAACCUAUGACCUGUCAAUCCAGAGACAUGCUCUCAGACCUCAACAGUUUUGCUUUUCCGUGUUUUUUACUUCUUUUUUUAAGCAUAGAUGACUUUAAUCAUUAAGCAGCUUUCAUAAGCAGAACAUAUACAAGCGCUAUUCGGUGCUCUUUGAUUUGUAAUCUAGGUUUUUGCCCAUUUAAUCCCCAGUGUCUAAGUGAAUUCCGCUGAAGUUCAGAAUUCUUUGAUUGAGCACGUAGUGAUUGGGUAAAGGAUUGCAUUGCUUCUCUGUCUGCUUUUACACUUUCUGUGACAGAGCUUUUUUGUGCAAAAACGUCCACUGCGUGGUAUCGUUUAUUUUUUCCCUUUUGUCUGCUUGUCUAUUAUCUGGUUGUUCCUUUUUCUCCUUUUUAUUAUAGUAUUUGGCUACUGGUUUCAUGCCCAAAGGAGAAAUUUCCGAUGAAGCAAGAUUUGAUUUGGUUUUGAUUUUUUUUUUCUGAUGCUAAUUUUAGAUAUGUUUUGAUGUAGAACAUUUGUUCUUUAAUAUUGAUGACCUUUUUCAAAAGCACGGGUUAUUCCAGACCCUGGGUAUGACAUAAAGGGUUAAGCUGUCCUGUUGUACAGAGAAGCCAGAGCCACCUCAACACUUUGUGAAAUCCAAGGAAAGCAGUGGCUCCCAAAGUGCCCUCCCUUGCCUGAACAAUUUGAAGACUGGUUUCUGUCCUAACUUGGUCUGAAUCUGCCUUUGGUGCUGUUGUGGAAGUAGGAGGCCAUGGUUUAUUUGCUCUGCUCUUUUGAGGGUUGCUCAGGGCAAUGCAAUCCAAAAGAUGCUGUGGCACCAAGGCACAUGUUCCCAGCCCAGUCAUAGCACUUAUCUCUAUAAUGGAGUGGUAAAGCCUUCUAACAUGCAGUUCACAGAAAUGGAUUGUACCAAGAGCAUCUAUAAAAGCCACAGCAUCCAUUUGAAAAGAGCAUAAUGUCACCAUUUUUCAGGAGAAGACAUUUCAAAUCAACUAUGACUUUUCCAACAGCCUUUUCCUGGAAAGGAGAUUUUCUUCUACAAAAGAAAUUUUUACAGAAAGAUUCUGAUACGGUCAACUAACUAGAGCAUCUGGUGUAUGCAGCUGGUCUAAGGUGGUUUUGCUGGUUGAGGAUUUGUGUCGGAAUGACCUGCAGAACUGAGUCCUUAGUUUGCAAACAUAAGUGAUGACUUUCGGUCAGCAAUGACUGAGGAUUUCACCUGGCGGGCAGAAAACUUCAGUUCAUAAGAAGAAAUUUCAAAGGUGAGCUUCAUGACGCUUUGAACAAGAAGGAAAACACUGGAGCUUUCCAUCAAAGCUGUGAGCCAAGCCAGGUUCCCAUCUGUGUGCUCUGCUCUACUUGAGAGGUCACGUCCAUGUGCCAUUACUAAGGAUGGAUGAUGGAGUAAUGCCAAGGUACCUCUGAGAGACGAAGGUCAAGAAAUGGGCUCCUCGCCAGGCCACGGCCAUGAUCCAGGUUUUCUGAGACUGAGUACAUUCAUCUGAGCUGUUAGCUGCUACGCUCCACCGCAUCCCUGUAUGAUCUGCCUAGGCUUGGUCCCCCAGAGGAAAUUUCUGCAUGCAUACUGUAUAUGAACUUUAGAUAAAUAAAUAAACACGAGAAACAGCUUCCAGAUAAUUGAAAGCGAGUGAAGGAGGGAGCAAAAAGAAAACAAUUUCUCAGGGGAGAAGCAAGCUGAGGUGGCAGGUACAGCCUAAAUUCAGCCAAAGUAUUUUGGUUCUUCUGUACCUUCAUAUGAUUAUUGAAGCACACUGAGCUGUGGUAUCAACAUCUGUAUGGUACAAAUACUUUUUCAGUCCAGCUGGACUCAGCUGCAUGAUCUGUGACCUGAAAAGCACACGCUCACCUUGGUUAAAUGGGGCUCAGCUCAGCAAUAUUCAGCAGAGCUGCGGCGGUUCCUGGCUCCGGCCACCAAAGCUCCACAGGAUUUUCACUGCUCAGGUGUUGCAAAGCCUAAUCCUUAUUCAGGAACCAAAACGCUCCCCUCUCCUUGCCUGCGGUGCUUGGAUGCCUGCCUUUGGCAGUAGCCCCAGACUCCUGCAGAAGAUGAAGACAUCCCUCCAUGCCUAUAGAUGGAAAAGCGCCAACAUGGAUGCCAUCAGAAGGACGCAGCUGAGCAUAUGCUGAGAAAAUUGUGGCAUCCAUACUGUACAUGGGGAAGGGCUGACUGAACACACCAGUUUGUUGAAGCUUAUGGCCCUGAAAAGGAAACAUAGGUUUCCUGUAAAUGUCAUUCAGGGAUAUGCUAACUGUUAUUUCCUGGCACUGGAUCAUGAUGCUUUCAACACAUUCUGUUCCUCUACCUCUGCUGCUACCUCUGCUGCCUGCCUGCCUGGCUGUGCACAGUGAUAGCUCUCCUGUCUUCUCACCUUUCCUCCUCCCCGCACCAGGCAAAGGUAUUCUGGUUGGGAGGGCCAGUGUCAGCACGCGAGAUGACGGACAGAGAGAUGAAGUCUCAACCCUAUACUCAGCCUGGCUGCUGCCUGUACCUGGGCCUUGCUGCACCAUUCCUUGAAUGCAAAGCAAUUCAAGGAAAAGAGUAACCUCUGUUACAUUAGAAAUCACACGUUUCUGACCCAGAAAGAGAGGAAUUUCACAGCCUCCCAGGACACGUGCUGGAGGGAGGAUUUCUGGAGCCUAAACCAGAGAAGCCCAGGAGAUGCUGGUGCGAAGGCUCACUGCAAGCAUCUGCUGCUUCUGGAGGAGGUCCUGUGGCAAUGCAUGUGCUCAGGAUAAAUAGAUUUCCUUCAGGAAACAUACUCUGGCCCCUGUCUGCUGUCAGAUAGUUGGGAGUGAGGUGGUCUUCGCAGUGAUUAAGCACAGAUUUUGCAGAGAAGGGAUAAAACGUCGUGGGCAAGGUCCUGUGGACUGAAAGUCAGAGUAACUGUAAUGCAAUGCCAUUACCCCACCUCACAGCUCAGAGCCUUUGCACAUCUCAUGGGCUGCCUGGAGCCUACACAGUUCACAGAGUGGAAAAAGGAAUUGAAGAAGCAAAAAUAAAUAUUGAAUCACGUAAGAAUUAAAUAUCACCUAUUUAAAUAGCAAUUACGCCGCUAAAAACAAGAUCACCACACCUGUACAAGAAAAGACAAGCAAGCCCAAAACAUCUGUUUGCAUCCACCUGCCAAGCACCUGUUCCGCUGUUUCAAUGCCAUUUGAUUGCUGGAGAUGUAGAGGCUCUUGUGAGGCCGGUCGUCUCACAGGGAACUGUAUGCAGAAUCCAUCAGCCCACGCUCCUCAUCACGAACUCAGUUGUUGAGACCAUCUCCCAGAGAUGAGGAAGAUGUGUUAAUCCAAAUGAAGAGACGCAGCCAAGCUUGGAGCAUCCUCUCUGCUGCUUCCCAAGUAUUUUCUCAGGUGUUAAACUAGCACUGGACUCAACUAAGAGGAGUGAUCAAACUAUCUGCUAAAGAACUCAAACAGGAGCCCCAGGAACUGGAAGCUGAACUUCAGAAUCACGAAGAGCACUGUUACAGCAUGAGAAAAAUCUGGAUGAAGACAUGAACUGGAGACAUGCCUACCACACUACAAGAAAUUGAAAGAAUACAAUCCCAUUUGACUCUAAAAAUCUUUCUAGGCUAAUUACCAGCUCACAAAGCAGAGAAAUUAAGGCAGAGAGGGCAUGUUCAUGAUGACAACCUUUACCCAUUAGCAAGCUUUGCGUUUUCCCAAGGCUGAAGACAGUUUAGCCCUGACAAAUCCAAUCAGUGAUAUGCAGGCGUAACCUCCAGAAAGAAGCUCACAUUUUUAGGAUCCACAGGGCAAAAGAUGGACUGCAGUAGGUCACUAUUAAAAUAUUUGAAAUACAGCUUGGCCAGUGCUGAAAUGGCACAGUUGGCCUGAAGUCGCUUCAAGGUCUCCUGGCAUCUGAGUGUUUCCCCAGUGGCUUUGUGCAGUAAAGUGUUAACUUCUCCUGAGUGGUUAUGUAUUUAAGGCAGUAACUUUAAAAUAAGGAAUUGCAACCUUAGAGCAAAGCUGCUAUUUUGAGAAUUUUAAACCAUUAUUGACUCCUGUCAGAUCAGUUUCUAGACUUAUUGACUCAAGAAGUAAAUAUAGACUGAGAGAAAGCGAGGUCAAGUCAAUAUUUAUCUUGCAGAUCAAUACAUUUUGAUACUAACCAAAAAUUAAGCUCAAUAAAUGCAUAUAUUAUAUACAGCAAGGUUAGGAGAGAUCCAUUCAGAAAAUUUGUCAAUUUGAAAUUUCCCAAUGGAAUCUAACCUUUUGGAUUCAAUUUCCAUUAGAAAUUCUGUCCCUUUAAGGUUCCGUAAGUGACUGAUGACGAGCCCCCAUCACCCAAUCAGAUUUCCAGAUGAUAGUUGAAUAGCAGUGAAAGGAAAAGGAAAGAAAGAUGAAGUGAGAAAAAGUUGGUCGCAGGAGCUCAAUCACGGCGUUAGGAGGAGGCAGACUCGGCAGUGAUUGAAAUACCUAAAAAGAAAAAAAGAAAACUGUUGGUUUCAUUGGAGCGAGUUUCGAGGUCUGUCUGUUUGCGCACAGUCCAAAUCUCAGACAGCUCAGCUCAGGGUUUGUACCAUCAGGAGAACGGAAGAGCUGGCAAGCUGAGACACUACCAGUACUUUGUGGAAACCGACAUAUGAAUUUGUUCUACAAAUGUGCCAGGGACACACUGAUCCAACAGUUAGAUCACUUCCAGAAGACACCGAGUUAGAUCUCCGAGUUCACUUCCAAUUGCUGACUACUACUAUCCAAUAAAAGAAAAUUUCUGCAUAAAGUAAACAAGUUGGAAACGUUCUGGGAUUUCAUCAACAACUUCCCAGCUUGACAACGAGACCCUCGUGACCCAGCAAUGAGUCCCAGUUCCCACCUGGGUGCCUCUGGAGAGUGACAAAUCUCUUGGAUGUGCUCUCACAUCCCAGAAGCACAGGCCAGGAACAUCUGUCUGUUCCUUCCUUUCCUUCAGACUGCCCUGAGGAGAAAGGGAGGCAGGCAAGUAAGGAUAUGAAAGGCAAACACUCAACUGGCCUUGUCACAUUAGCCAACUUAAAUAAUUCCUCUUGGCUGUGGAAACAGCCUUCCCAUCCAAAGCUGUCUUUUUUUUUUUUCUUUCUUUCUUUUCCCCCCUUUUUUCCCCCCAAAAAACCAAGAACAACUUAUUUCCAAUUUUGGGCAGCUUCCUUGGCUGUGGGCCAGCUCUCCCCACUGCCUCUCUGUGCUACUUCCCAACACCUCUUAAGUGACCUGAGUGCCUCAGGGAUCAAACUUUACCGAACAGGAAAAUCAAAGUAUGCAAAUGAAGCUCGGGUUAUUACAUAUAUAAUGAUGAAAACGAUUUUCUUUUGCUGUUGCCCGUGCCCAGCUUCCUUCCCUACGGCUCUGAGUGCUUUAGAGCUGUAUAUAGCUGUUGAACUGAAGCACCCAAGGAUGGCUCUGAAGCAGGAAGAGAGUUCAAUCUGCAGGCUGGUUUUCCAGGCACUUUCUUUCUUAUUCUCCACAAGAUGGUUGAUAUGCCUCCGGAUUUUGCUGCUAUUAUUUGGGUGUCUCUACUUCACAGCAAAGGGCAGAUGAAUGCCUUGUGCAGCCUCUUCAGUCCACUCUAGAUCUAUUUCAGGCUGAGAAGACUGUGCUGCUUGGAUAGAUGGGUGCAUUUCAUGCCAAAAGCUCAGUCUUUCUGCAGAGUUAGGCAUCUCCGUUUGAAAAAGUAAGUACAAGGUAAAGCUGUUUGAACCAGUGCAUGAAGCUGAGUUGCUAUCAGAUGUAUAUGGCAUAAAGUAUAUAUCCUGAUAGGCACUCUCCUACAAAGGAGAAGUGGCCUUAUUUACUUGUGCAUCUUAAUGAAUGAGAGGAUGCAUAUUGUGACAUGAAAUCCUAUCCACUGUACCAAUUCAACAGGCAUUUAUACACUGAAGUCUGAACUCUGCAUAACCAAUGGGAUGUCAAUGAAGGAUGUGGAAGAACACUUGUCUAAAGACACCUACUCUUUAUUUUUACUACAAAGUCAAUUACCAUUUCAAAGCAGCCAUCUGACAUGUAUAAUGUCAGGAGCCAGAUGCUGGCAUUGUGAUAUCGUCAUAUUAAUUUUAAAGAAUCAUUUUUUAAAUUAUUAUUAUUUUUUUUUUAAUGUUGGAUUCCCAAGGAUUAAGUUGGAUUUUCUCAAUGUAGUUGAAAAAAGAAUUUAUAUUCCCCAGACAAACAUUCUUCUAUUCUGUUUGGUUCUAUAACUCAGUCAUUUCUCUCUUGAAGAAGCACAAAACAGAAAGAACUUUUGGUUUCAGGUAAAGUUUCGCUUCAGCUGAUCUUUCUGAAAACAUGCACCUUUUUGGCUGUUUCAGUUAUGAAUCAUAGAAUGGCCUGGGUUGAAAAGGACCACAAUGCUCAUCCAGCUCCAACCCCCUGCUGUGUGCAGGUCACCAACCAGCAGCCCAGGCUGCCCAGAGCCACAUCCAGCCUGGUCUUGAAUGCCUGCAGGGAUGGGGCAUCCACAGCCUCCUUGAGCAACCUGUUCCAGUGCAUCAACACCCUCUGUGUGAAAAACUUCCCCCUAAUAUCUAACCUAAACCUCCCAAAAUGAAGCUUAUGCAUAAUUUAUCUUUAAAGGGAAGUUUAAUGAGUAAAAUUUGGGUUACUGAGGUUUUGGCACAGGUCACAUUGAAUCUUUUUUUAUCUCCUAAAUCACGUGUUUAAACUUAGUUUGGGUCUCUUACGACCAAAAUCCGUGCUGACUCCUCUCUGACCUAGGCAGAUUGAACUGAGUCGCAACACUGCUCUUUGCUGGUACAUGUCCUCAUCCCCACUGCCAAGAAAAACCCUCUCCCUCUGUGUUUUCCUGUUAGCAAUACUGGUAUGGAAGCCAAGGACUGACAGUCUUUCUCAUAAUUCUAAAAUCCUCUCCUCCAACAGGGAAAAAGGAAAAUGAUUAAGAAACCUUUUGCUAUUGUUUGGUUGUUUGGUUAUAAAGGGGAACUGGUCUGCCAAGCCAUCAUCCCAGUAGCCCUAAAUCUCUGUGUAAAACAUAGGCAAAAGGAGAGAAAAGAAAGAUUUAUUGUUAUUAUCAUUACAGACUACCUUUAUAAUACAUGUGUUUCACUUAAAUUAAUAUUUUAUAACUCUAUAUCAGCACUACAGUCACCCAACAGCAUUUCUUAUUUAUCCAGUUGGACAUACUAAUUUGCUUUUAUCAAAAUACUUGAGAAAUAAUUGUCUUACCUCUCCUAGGACAUGCUACAGGGUUUAUUCUCUCCUUGCUAUCUACGUAGUUAUAAAUCCUCAUGCACUGAGAGCAGAACAGGCUUUAUGUGUCUAGCAUUUUCUUAUGAUUUCUAGGCUAUUAUCCCCAAAUCCUAAUUAACCAUUAUUAAAAAUAAUGUGGCCUUUCUACCACGUGAGAUAUACCAGCAUGAUAAGAUGUGAUGUGAAAGUCCCAAGUAUAAUGUAAUUUUGCUGCUUUACUUUUCCUCUUUUAUUAGAGAUUUCUAACAUAAUACUGCGUUUUCAUCCAAAGUGACAGGAUUCAGUGCAUACUUUGUGGUAUAUGUUUUGCAAACUGCCAAAACAGAGUCGUUGGAUUUAGUUUUCUAAUAAUCAUACAGCCAUACAACACGCCCCUACAUGUCAGAAACUGAAGAAAGCAAAUUUGUACACAACAACAUGUAUUUUGUGGAUAGCGAUAACCCACCCAAAUCUAAUUUAAUCAAAUAUUUAAAGAGGUAAUAAUUAAUUUUUAAAGAAUUGAAGUGAACCGUAACUAGGAGGAAAUGUUAUUGUUUAUUUUUAAUGCCAGAACCGUAUUCCUGAUGCAUUUUUAAUAUUUCAUUAAGGCGGUAACUUUCACAGUGUAUUUUUUCAAGUUUCAUAUCUCACUGAUUUAUUUAUUUUUUUCUGAAGAAGAAAGGUAAAAUGCUGUAGGGAAACUCAUAGCUUAGACUGAUGCAUUCUUUGAGGAGCUCUUGCUAAAACUAACUGAAGUCUUUUUAAGCAGAAGUCUUCUUAAGCCUUUCCGGACAAGCAAUCUAAAACCAGAUGUCUUUUAGACAAGCUAAGGUACAGCAUCUGCUUGUGAGCUGAGCAAAGGGUUCUUCUUUCAGACAGUGCAUGUGUUCAUUGGGUACUACUUUCUGUUCUGCUUCUGAGCUAUUAGUCAUUCUUACUUUCUGGAAGAGAUAUCUGCAAGAAAGGUUUUAAAGCCCAUUGCCUUUCAAACCUGCAUUCUGUCCUUCCUCAGUCCUUUGUUUUUUGAUGUAUUCCUUCUUUUUAAUGGAGCAUCCCUCACAGUUUUUUAGCCUUUCGUACUCAAACCAUGGAAGCCUAUUUAUUUCACUCUGGCUCCAGCCCUAGUUAAAGGUGUGAACUACCAAAGUGGAUGGGGGCACAUGCACAUUAACACUGCUGUGGAAAACAUCGCCUGACAGAUGGAUGCAUGUUGAAUGGGUGUUUAAAGAAAGGUGUUUGCAAUAAAAAUCCUGAGUACAGCAUCAGAGGAAGACCACACAUAGUUUCCUACUUUUAUUUCUGUAAUAUAUAGGGGUCAGGCUAGUUCUAGUCCCUAUGCUUUAUACUGUCACUUACUCACAUUUGCUAUUUCGUAUAUGCUUAUAUUUGAUAUUUAAUACUAAUAAUUUAUAUAUUAAUAUUUGUGUGUUUAUUCCAAAGACUGGCUGUUUUCAAGGGUCUGCUCUGCAGCACGAGGGCCUGAGUCAACAUACUGUAAAUUGCUAGUUUAUUCAAUAAACAAAAUAGUGAAAGGGUAAGUUGAAUUUCUCCAGUUAUAAUCACCUGUUCUCGAUCUCUGGGCGAUACUCACCUAAUGUGUAACAGUUAUGGAGCUAUGAAUAUGAUGUGCAGAUACAUCCUUGCUUGGGUUUAUCUGCCUCUGACCAGCUCUAAGAACUGACGUGUUUAAAUUCUGGUUGAGAAAUGAGGCAAGUGACUGGAACUAGAUUAUCUUUGAGGGUCCUUCUAACCCAAACCAUUCUAUGAUUCUUUGGAAGAUGAACUAUAGAUAAGAAGUUCUCUCCAUUUUUCUUCCUAAGUCCUUAGCUGUUCCCUGGAUGGAUAAGAGGACUUUUUAGGCACAGCAUUGUUCUUUUCCCAAAAUAUUUCUGACUCAGUCAUCUGCCUACGUAGCGAACUUUUGUGUCCCCUGACUUAGGCUGAAUUGGUUUCUCUUUAUGUACAAACAGGAUCGCUUUUUUUCCCCCCUGAUUUCAUAAUUGCUAUUUCUAUUUUUUUGCUUCUUUCAGUUUUCAAUUAUACUUCCACUUGACUAUCAAGAUUAUCAAGAAAUAAAGCAUGAUUCACAUGUACACAUAGUUUACGACCUUUAGAUUCAAGUCUAUUUAUAUAAACUUGCAAAUACAAAAGGAUACGACGUCAUAGGGCCUUGUAGGCACCCAAAUUGUCAGUGAAUUCAGACCAUAACUGGUUUGUUCAGCUUUAUUGAGACCUCUUUAUAAGCUGUGCUUGUGUUAUGACAGUAGAUUGUUUACAGAUUCUUAAAAUGUCCUGAGUUGAUGAAAAAAAGGGCAAUUUUUUCCUUCACAAAUAUCACUUGACUUUGAGAGGAGUGUUUGAAGCUACACAACCAGAAUAGGAACAUUCACAUCCUCUCUAUGAGUGGCUCAAAAACCCUGUCAUUUCUCUCAGGCCCAGCUCCAGCAAGCACUUACACACAUGCUUAACUUUAUGCACACGAGUAAUCCCAUUGAUUUAAUGGGAUUAUUCCCCUAUGCACAGUUACGCACACAUAAAUGUUUGCAGGACUGGGGUCUAUUUCUCUUGCAAUAAUUUGAAACCUGUGGAAGAAAAUGCUGUAUGCAAGUUAGAUAUUAUUUAAUGGCCACAUAUUAAGCCUGAAUAUCUCUUCUGAAAUUGGUGAGGCUGUGCCACUUUGUUUCUGGCUGAGAAACUGCCCUCUUCUGUGCACAGUGUACACUCUUAGCUUACUACAACACAUUGUGGCUAUUACAGCAUAGAAAAGUGUAUGGGAACUGCUGAGUCACAGCUUGAACCACUGAUGGAGCACCUGAGGAAAGGACCUGGUCAGCCCUGGGAGCACAGGUGAAGGCAAUUCACCUGUAUGACUGGAAGGGGUGCAGCCUGGCUCCACCUCUCUUAGACCCCAUUUAAGGGCUGACUGCAACUGGGGAAGGAUCUCCUUCUAAAGAUCCCUCCCUAGUGGAGUUUUCCUCUGUGAACCUGGAAUCUUCUGAUAAAGUGUUACAGUAGAAAGAAUCUUUCCCAUAAAGAACAACGUGACGAUUUUCACACUGAACUUUCUGCCACGUAUCUGCAGAACUGCCACAGAUGUACAUGCACAUCCAACCUGAAAUCAGCCCUGAGAGUAGAUGGGUAUGUUUGAUGAAGAGGUCAAUUAAAACCACAGAAUCUUUCAGCACCCUGUGUCCCAGGUGUUGGACCAUGUAGCUAUGAUGAGCAUCCUUGAUGCCAGCACUUCUGUCAGAUGAGUCUACAAAGAUGACGAUUGACAUCACUGGAGAAUCUACAAAUUUUCUGUGAGCAAAGUGUCACAAAACAGACCAGCAAACAAAAUUCUUUUCCCUGACUAACGUAAGACAUAAACAUGCAUGCAGCUCUGCACAGCCAUAUCUAAUUGUAAGGUCAUGCCUUUUUUUAAUGAGCUUGCUAAAAGUUUACACCAAGUUUCCUCAGUGAAACAGGUAGGGUCUCAUUGAUCUCCAGCCAGGGCUGUCAUUACAGAGGAUGGGGUUCCAAUUUCUGAUUAAUGAAAAUUUUAAUUACGGACAGAUAACGAAGAGAAAGACACAUUUCCAUGUUACUUUAAACAAAGAAGAGUUAAGGCCUUAUCUUAACUAUGCAUUGGCACUGCAAUGCGAAAUGGUCAUGCAAAAUUAAUUUUUAAUGUGUUCAAUUUAUAUUAAAAAUUUCUGCAAGUGUGUGAUUUUUUUUUUUUUCUAAGGCUGGAGUGCUACUUCAUUUACAAUAUUCCCUGAAGGUGUUUUUUUUUUAAAGAGACUCUUAAACUGAAGCCAUUUUAAGGGUUUUAUGAGACAUUAUGUGAGCUUUCAUAUGCAAGUUAGUCGUUAAGUACCAGAUAUUAUAUUCUGUAAUAUGCUUAAGUGAUAUUAGAGGCUGUAUAUAGCCUGCAGUAAUGGCUAUUGCUGCUUUUUUAAUUUAUCAAGAAAAUGUUGCUUAAAUAAGGAGCAAAUCAGUGCUUGGGUGUAGAAAAUAUAAAUGUACAGGAAGUAAUAGUAUCAUUGCAACACACUUUGCAUGUCCAGCUUCCCUGGGGAGCAAACACAAAGUCUGCUUUCCCCUACUCCUGCUAACAUACAUGGAAGACCCAUACAUGUAGUGAUGGAAAUAUGCAAAAAGAGAAAUUUCACUGAGUCUCACUGAGCAGUAUGUGACUGCUGCUCCUCAAGACCUCAUGAGAAUUAAUAUUAUGCCCUCUGUAACUGGGUUUUUUUUUGUACAAUCCUUGGCAUUCAAAGUAGCAUCUCACUUUUGGAUGUAGACCAGUGAAGUCUUUGAAUGUUCAUCCUCCAAAGGGAAAUAUUUUUGUUAAGCUGGAUUCAUUGGUCAAGCUGUAACAGCUAGGAUGAAAAAAAUCUCAGAUGGUGAACAAACUUGCUAUUUCUCUUUUGUCGCUUCUUGCUGAGAAAUAAGGAGAAAAAAGAGGAGGGAGAGACCUUUAAACUGAUAAGCCUGUAGAAAUAGAAAAGUCACUUGACUUUACUUACAGACGUGCUUCCUGCUCCGAACUCUGACACAGAAACAAACCCUUUUGCAGUUGUGCUGCAUGGAAGUGGGACACGGGCAUCUUUUGCCCUGCCCCCCACCCCACACAGUUCUCCCUGCUCUGUGCACACAGUGCUGUCUGGUGCCCA
Long non-coding RNA from Lagopus muta (rock ptarmigan), 15452 nucleotides. RefSeq lists it as uncharacterized. The transcript is spliced from 20 exons. NCBI's taxonomy places the organism in Eukaryota, Metazoa, Chordata, Aves, Galliformes, Phasianidae. The record is from RefSeq and is a predicted model, not a curated record.